AGCUUUGUGCGUUGGUAAUAUCAUAGCCAAUGAGGUUUAUUCAAGGCUAAUUGCUAAUUGAAAACUUUUCUCAGUACCCUACCAUGACGACUUGCAGUAUAGUCAACACUGGCAAUUUUUGAUGGUCUCUAUAGAGA
This is a small nuclear RNA of Nycticebus coucang (slow loris), 137 nucleotides long. RefSeq annotates it as U4 spliceosomal RNA. The transcript has a single exon. NCBI's taxonomy places the organism in Eukaryota, Metazoa, Chordata, Mammalia, Primates, Lorisidae. The record is from RefSeq and is a predicted model, not a curated record.